AUUACAUCUUUUCAAUAUUUGCUAGACAGUUAUGAAUUAUUGUUUUAUAAUUACAUUAUUUUCAAAGUUAGUAAUUUCAUGGCUCGACUCAAAACAAGUGAAAUAAAUUUUUUUUCGAUUAGAUUACUGAUAGCUGAUCUAAAAUUGGGCACAUUUCGACUAUGAUUGUACGGCGGUAAAUAAUUUCGCAGUUAUCAUCAAUUACUUAAACCGCAUCUUACCUGUUAUUAAAAACAACACUAUAUUAAUUGUAUACUUACACUUUUAUUCAUGCAGAGAGUAGAUCAAGCUAUUCAGUAAAGAAACGAACGUUAAAAUAUAGAUACACAAUAGGGGAUGUAGAAUUGAAGUCAAGUCAUCCGACAAUAGUUAUGAUGUCAUAUGAAGCACUGCCUACAACGUAGAACUUUGAAUAAAAUGCAAAAAUCAACAUUAACUGAUAACAUUUUAAUUAUUUGUAAUGACAGAAAAUACAUUAUUAAAAAAAGCACCAAGAUUAGUUCAAUCAAUUUUAUAGGAGGCAUGUCAAGUACCUUCAAUAUACAAAUAAGGAGAUGUGGUAUUAUUGCAUAUGAGACAAUUUACCGCCAGAAACCAAAAUACAAGGUCUUUCCAAAUUUAUAAUAUUUAUUGCUUAAUAUAAAGUUAAUUAGGUCAUACCACUAUUCAACCAUUGCGUUUCGUAUCCUUUAAAUUAUUAGCAAACUAGAAUCCACAUUAAAACAAAACUUUAUUUUCUAUUUAUGAUUCUGCAUUGACGUGAAGAUUAUGUCAGGGUAAUACAGUAAAGUUAUGUCACUGUAUCUCAUGUAUCUAUUGGUUUUUUUUUUUAUAAGCAUGACUUUGCUUCCGACAUAGGAUUUUAGAACUUUGGGAUUGAAUAUACUCGGGGUAAGUACUUGUACGUGCAGUUUGUUUCAAUUACAAUCGAAUUGUAUAAUCUGUCAUUUUGAUUAAUAACAUAUUGUAGCAUAGUCAUUCAUGUCCUUUUUAAAUCCUUUAACAUUUAGCAAAACCCAUAACACAUCAAACGUCUUACAUGUAUAUGCAUUGAAACAAUUGACAUCUGUUAUACAUGAAAUAUUGUAAUAAUGUUGGUAUGAGUAUUAAUACCAGUAUAAUUUGUUUGAAAGCCCACUAUACCAAUAUACCUAGAAAAAAAGCCACGAGAAAACUACGCAUAAACAACGGACACUCAUAUAUAAGCAUGAUAGACAACAGCAGAAUAUACUUAGCCUUCAACAUUCAAUAUUCAUGGUUUGGGAUGAAAAAACGAUAACAGAUAAGCGACAGUAAAAUGAGUAAAGAAGAGUUACAUUCACUGUUAUUUUUGUUGAAAUAUUGAUGACGUCGACAAUUCCAAUUUUGAUUUUAUUAAAUGGAGAUUCUGAUAAACUACAAAAUUGUUGUUCAAAUUUGAAUAAUUUAAAAUCUUUUAUUUUCACGCAGUGCCUUCCCUUGAUAUGAUCACAAAACUGGUAGGAAGAAAGAUGAUUAUGAUUUUCAAACUGAGUUUCCAUUAUAUGAUGAGCAAAAAAAA
This 1540-nucleotide long non-coding RNA is filed under the name Mytilus galloprovincialis (Mediterranean mussel). The record is from RNAcentral. Lineage: Eukaryota; Metazoa; Mollusca; Bivalvia; Mytilida; Mytilidae.